This is a long non-coding RNA of Bos taurus (domestic cattle), 715 nucleotides long. NCBI's taxonomy places the organism in Eukaryota, Metazoa, Chordata, Mammalia, Artiodactyla, Bovidae. The record is from Ensembl.
UUCGUCACUUCCGGCAGGCGCGAGGCGGAAGCGAAGAGCAGCUGCGGCAGGGGUUAGGGAGACCGCAGGUCAGAGUGGCCCCGGGGCAGAGGGGCCGGGGUCUGAGGUGCUUUCGCGGGGACGCGAGGUACCCGGGGGUGGCAGAGGCUUCCGAGGAAAGACUGCGCGCGACGGCGAGCCCCCGCCUCCUGCCCCGAGGCCGGCAUCCCUGGCGGGUCCCGAGGGGCCUGGUGCUAGGCUGGGCUGGGCCGGCCGGGGGCUGCUCGCGGGCCGCUUGCAGUUACCUCUUGGUCCUUCUGGACUGCCAGGAGGAAAUGGUUCUGGGGACGGUGCCUCCACCUUCCAGCACCGUCAGUUACAGUGUUACCAUAGUCGCCGUUAAGGCGGGAAACGAUGAACUCGGGCUCCUGGACCCCAAGCCACCCCGAGGAAUCGUCUGAGCAACCCGGGAUGAGGAAGACAGACCCUUGGACUUUUGUUACCUUUGGGCUAUCGUGGAUAAUACUUCUAUGAACACGGACGUGCAAAUAUCAAUUCUUCUGGGCACAGAUAUAUUCUAGAAGUGGAGUUCCUGGAUCAGACGGUAAUUUUUAUGUUUAAUUUUUUGGGGAACUAUCGUGCCAUUUUCUACUGUGAAAGUCAUAGAUAUUUAAAUACCUGUAAUAUUUUAUCCUGCAUUUCUGUAGGUUAUUAGUGGGAGGCUAUGCAUGGGAUC